AGCGAAAGCGUGGGGAGCGAACAGGAUUAGAUACCCUGGUAGUCCACGCCGUAAACGAUGAGUGCUAAGUGUUAGGGGGUUUCCGCCCCUUAGUGCUGCAGCUAACGCAUUAAGCACUCCGCCUGGGGAGUACGGUCGCAAGACUGAAACUCAAAGGAAUUGACGGGGGCCCGCACAAGCGGUGGAGCAUGUGGUUUAAUUCGAAGCAACGCGAAGAACCUUACCAGGUCUUGACAUCCUCUGACAAUCCUAGAGAUAGGACGUCCCCUUCGGGGGCAGAGUGACAGGUGGUGCAUGGUUGUCGUCAGCUCGUGUCGUGAGAUGUUGGGUUAAGUCCCGCAACGAGCGCAACCCUUGAUCUUAGUUGCCAGCAUUCAGUUGGGCACUCUAAGGUGACUGCCGGUGACAAACCGGAGGAAGGUGGGGAUGACGUCAAAUCAUCAUGCCCCUUAUGACCUGGGCUACACACGUGCUACAAUGGACAGAACAAAGGGCAGCGAAACCGCGAGGUUAAGCCAAUCCCACAAAUCUGUUNUCAGUUCGGAUCGCAGUCUGCAACUCGNCUGCGUGAAGCUGGAAUCGCUAGUAAUCGCGGAUCAGC
Molecule: ribosomal RNA, 601 nt
Filed under: Bacillus subtilis
Lineage: Bacteria; Bacillati; Bacillota; Bacilli; Caryophanales; Bacillaceae
Description: bacterial SSU rRNA
Rfam family: Bacterial small subunit ribosomal RNA
Source: RNAcentral